AACGAACGCUGGCGGCAUGCCUAACACAUGCAAGUCGAACGAGACCUUCGGGUCUAGUGGCGCACGGGUGAGUAACGCGUGGAUAACCUGCCCUGGUAUCUGGAAUAACAUCGCGAAAGUGGUGCUAAUACCGGAUAAGCUUACGGAGUCUUCGGCCUCUGUGAGAAAAGGUGGCCUCUAUUUAUAAGCUAUCGUAUCAGGAUGGGCAUGCGUAAACAUUAGCUAGUUGGUGAGGUAACGGCUCACCAAGGCGACGAUGUUUAGGGGGUCUGAGAGGAUGAUCCCCCACACUGGUACUGAGACACGGACCAGACUCCUACGGGAGGCAGCAGUAAGGAAUAUUGGACAAUGGGGGCAACCCUGAUCCAGCCAUGCCGCGUGAAGGAUGAAGGCGCUCUGCGUCGUAAACUUCUUUUAUCCGGGAAAAAUUGUUGGGUUUCUACCUGACUUGAUUGUACCGGAGGAAUAAGGACCGGCUAACUUCGUGCCAGCAGCCG
RNAcentral lists this ribosomal RNA (497 nucleotides) under uncultured bacterium. RNAcentral describes it as "bacterial SSU rRNA". It matches the Rfam family "Bacterial small subunit ribosomal RNA", at positions 29 to 517 of the family's 1533-position model. The record is from RNAcentral.